UACGGAGGGUGCGAGCGUUGUCCGGAAUCACUGGGCGUAAAGGGCGCGUAGGCGGCCCUCUAAGUCAGACGUGAAAUCCCUCGGCUCAACCGGGGAACUGCGUCUGAUACUGGAGGGCUUGAAUCCGGGAGAGGGAUGUGGAAUUCCAGGUGUAGCGGUGAAAUGCGUAGAUAUCAGGAGGAACACCGGUGGCGAAGGCGGGUCUCUGGGCCGAUACUGACACUGAGGAGCGAAAGCGUGGGGAGCGAACAGG
Molecule: ribosomal RNA, 253 nt
Filed under: uncultured bacterium
Lineage: Bacteria
Description: partial 16S ribosomal RNA
Rfam family: Bacterial small subunit ribosomal RNA
Source: RNAcentral